RNAcentral lists this ribosomal RNA (253 nucleotides) under Dentiscutata heterogama. It matches the Rfam family "Eukaryotic large subunit ribosomal RNA", at positions 430 to 692 of the family's 3401-position model. The record is from RNAcentral. Lineage: Eukaryota; Fungi; Glomeromycota; Glomeromycetes; Diversisporales; Gigasporaceae.
CAGUCGCGUUGGCUAGAAAUCAACAUUGCUCUUGCUUUGCGUAUUUUCUGGUUGACGGGUCAGCAUCAAUUUUGACCAUUGGAUAAAGGCAUUGGGAAUGUGGCAUCUCAGGAUGUGUUAUAGCCCAUUGUUGCAUACGGUGGUUGGGAUUGAGGUUUCAGUGCACGCUUCGGUUGUGCUUUGAUGCUGGCGUAAUGGCUUUAAGCGACCCGUCUUGAAACACGGACCAAGGAGUCUAACAUGUAUGCGAGUG